UUAAGCGACUAAGCGUACACGGUGGAUGCCCUGGCAGUCAGAGGCGAUGAAGGACGUGCUAAUCUGCGAUAAGCGUCGGUAAGGUGAUAUGAACCGUUAUAACCGGCGAUUUCCGAAUGGGGAAACCCAGUGUGUUUCGACACACUAUCAUUAACUGAAUCCAUAGGUUAAUGAGGCGAACCGGGGGAACUGAAACAUCUAAGUACCCCGAGGAAAAGAAAUCAACCGAGAUUCCCCCAGUAGCGGCGAGCGAACGGGGAGGAGCCCAGAGCCUGAAUCAGUGUGUGUGUUAGUGGAAGCGUCUGGAAAGGCGCGCGAUACAGGGUGACAGCCCCGUACACAAAAAUGCACAUGCUGUGAGCUCGAUGAGUAGGGCGGGACACGUGGUAUCCUGUCUGAAUAUGGGGGGACCAUCCUCCAAGGCUAAAUACUCCUGACUGACCGAUAGUGAACCAGUACCGUGAGGGAAAGGCGAAAAGAACCCCGGCGAGGGGAGUGAAAAAGAACCUGAAACCGUGUACGUACAAGCAGUGGGAGCACGCUUAGGCGUGUGACUGCGUACCUUUUGUAUAAUGGGUCAGCGACUUAUAUUCUGUAGCAAGGUUAACCGAAUAGGGGAGCCGAAGGGAAACCGAGUCUUAACUGGGCGUUAAGUUGCAGGGUAUAGACCCGAAACCCGGUGAUCUAGCCAUGGGCAGGUUGAAGGUUGGGUAACACUAACUGGAGGACCGAACCGACUAAUGUUGAAAAAUUAGCGGAUGACUUGUGGCUGGGGGUGAAAGGCCAAUCAAACCGGGAGAUAGCUGGUUCUCCCCGAAAGCUAUUUAGGUAGCGCCUCGUGAAUUCAUCUCCGGGGGUAGAGCACUGUUUCGGCAAGGGGGUCAUCCCGACUUACCAACCCGAUGCAAACUGCGAAUACCGGAGAAUGUUAUCACGGGAGACACACGGCGGGUGCUAACGUCCGUCGUGAAGAGGGAAACAACCCAGACCGCCAGCUAAGGUCCCAAAGUCAUGGUUAAGUGGGAAACGAUGUGGGAAGGCCCAGACAGCCAGGAUGUUGGCUUAGAAGCAGCCAUCAUUUAAAGAAAGCGUAAUAGCUCACUGGUCGAGUCGGCCUGCGCGGAAGAUGUAACGGGGCUAAACCAUGCACCGAAGCUGCGGCAGCGACGCUUAUGCGUUGUUGGGUAGGGGAGCGUUCUGUAAGCCUGUGAAGGUGUACUGUGAGGUAUGCUGGAGGUAUCAGAAGUGCGAAUGCUGACAUAAGUAACGAUAAAGCGGGUGAAAAGCCCGCUCGCCGGAAGACCAAGGGUUCCUGUCCAACGUUAAUCGGGGCAGGGUGAGUCGACCCCUAAGGCGAGGCCGAAAGGCGUAGUCGAUGGGAAACAGGUUAAUAUUCCUGUACUUGGUGUUACUGCGAAGGGGGGACGGAGAAGGCUAUGUUGGCCGGGCGACGGUUGUCCCGGUUUAAGCGUGUAGGCUGGUUUUCCAGGCAAAUCCGGAAAAUCAAGGCUGAGGCGUGAUGACGAGGCACUACGGUGCUGAAGCAACAAAUGCCCUGCUUCCAGGAAAAGCCUCUAAGCAUCAGGUAACAUCAAAUCGUACCCCAAACCGACACAGGUGGUCAGGUAGAGAAUACCAAGGCGCUUGAGAGAACUCGGGUGAAGGAACUAGGCAAAAUGGUGCCGUAACUUCGGGAGAAGGCACGCUGAUAUGUAGGUGAAGUCCCUUGCGGAUGGAGCUGAAAUCAGUCGAAGAUACCAGCUGGCUGCAACUGUUUAUUAAAAACACAGCACUGUGCAAACACGAAAGUGGACGUAUACGGUGUGACGCCUGCCCGGUGCCGGAAGGUUAAUUGAUGGGGUCAGCGCAAGCGAAGCUCUUGAUCGAAGCCCCGGUAAACGGCGGCCGUAACUAUAACGGUCCUAAGGUAGCGAAAUUCCUUGUCGGGUAAGUUCCGACCUGCACGAAUGGCGUAAUGAUGGCCAGGCUGUCUCCACCCGAGACUCAGUGAAAUUGAACUCGCUGUGAAGAUGCAGUGUACCCGCGGCAAGACGGAAAGACCCCGUGAACCUUUACUAUAGCUUGACACUGAACAUUGAGCCUUGAUGUGUAGGAUAGGUGGGAGGCUUGGAAGUGUGGACGCCAGUCUGCAUGGAGCCGACCUUGAAAUACCACCCUUUAAUGUUUGAUGUUCUAACGUUGACCCGUAAUCCGGGUUGCGGACAGUGUCUGGUGGGUAGUUUGACUGGGGCGGUCUCCUCCUAAAGAGUAACGGAGGAGCACGAAGGUUGGCUAAUCCUGGUCGGACAUCAGGAGGUUAGUGCAAUGGCAUAAGCCAGCUUGACUGCGAGCGUGACGGCGCGAGCAGGUGCGAAAGCAGGUCAUAGUGAUCCGGUGGUUCUGAAUGGAAGGGCCAUCGCUCAACGGAUAAAAGGUACUCCGGGGAUAACAGGCUGAUACCGCCCAAGAGUUCAUAUCGACGGCGGUGUUUGGCACCUCGAUGUCGGCUCAUCACAUCCUGGGGCUGAAGUAGGUCCCAAGGGUAUGGCUGUUCGCCAUUUAAAGUGGUACGCGAGCUGGGUUUAGAACGUCGUGAGACAGUUCGGUCCCUAUCUGCCGUGGGCGCUGGAGAACUGAGGGGGGCUGCUCCUAGUACGAGAGGACCGGAGUGGACGCAUCACUGGUGUUCGGGUUGUCAUGCCAAUGGCACUGCCCGGUAGCUAAAUGCGGAAGAGAUAAGUGCUGAAAGCAUCUAAGCACGAAACUUGCCCCGAGAUGAGUUCUCCCUGACCCUUUAAGGGUCCUGAAGGAACGUUGAAGACGACGACGUUGAUAGGCCGGGUGUGUAAGCGCAGCGAUGCGUUGAGCUAACCGGUACUAAUGAACCGUGAGGCUUAACCUU
This 2902-nucleotide ribosomal RNA is filed under the name human gut metagenome. Its description in RNAcentral is "bacterial LSU rRNA". It matches the Rfam family "Bacterial large subunit ribosomal RNA". The record is from RNAcentral.